Molecule: transfer RNA, 71 nt
Filed under: Marmota monax (woodchuck)
Lineage: Eukaryota; Metazoa; Chordata; Mammalia; Rodentia; Sciuridae
Description: tRNA.Ala
Source: RNAcentral
GGGGCUGUGGCUCAGCGGUAGAUCCCUCACCUAGCAUGGGCGAGGCCCUGGGUUCGAUCCUCAGCACCACA